RNAcentral lists this ribosomal RNA (868 nucleotides) under uncultured bacterium. RNAcentral describes it as "bacterial SSU rRNA". It matches the Rfam family "Bacterial small subunit ribosomal RNA", at positions 60 to 921 of the family's 1533-position model. The record is from RNAcentral.
AGUCGAGCGGAGAUGAGGUGCUUGCACCUUAUCUUAGCGGCGGACAGGUGAGUAAUGCUUAGGAAUCUGCCUAUUAGUGGGGGACAACAUUCCGAAAGGAAUGCUAAUACCGCAUACGUCCUACGGGAGAAAGCAGGGGAUCUUCGGACCUUGCGCUAAUAGAUGAGCCUAAGUCGGAUUAGCUAGUUGGUGGGGUAAAGGCCUACCAAGGCGACGAUCUGUAGCGGGUCUGAGAGGAUGAUCCGCCACACUGGGACUGAGACACGGCCCAGACUCCUACGGGAGGCAGCAGUGGGGAAUAUUGGACAAUGGGGGGAACCCUGAUCCAGCCAUGCCGCGUGUGUGAAGAAGGCCUUAUGGUUGUAAAGCACUUUAAGCGAGGAGGAGGCUACUGAGACUAAUACUCUUGGAUAGUGGACGUUACUCGCAGAAUAAGCACCGGCUAACUCUGUGCCAGCAGCCGCGGUAAUACAGAGGGUGCGAGCGUUAAUCGGAUUUACUGGGCGUAAAGCGUGCGUAGGCGGCUUUUUAAGUCGGAUGUGAAAUCCCCGAGCUUAACUUGGGAAUUGCAUUCGAUACUGGGAAGCUAGAGUAUGGGAGAGGAUGGUAGAAUUCCAGGUGUAGCGGUGAAAUGCGUAGAGAUCUGGAGGAAUACCGAUGGCGAAGGCAGCCAUCUGGCCUAAUACUGACGCUGAGGUACGAAAGCAUGGGGAGCAAACAGGAUUAGAUACCCUGGUAGUCCAUGCCGUAAACGAUGUCUACUAGCCCGUUGGGGCCUUUGAGGCUUUAGUGGCGCAGCUAACGCGAUAAGUAGACCGCCCUGGGGGAGUACGUCGCAGACUAAAACUCAAAUGAAUUGACGGGGCCC